GCGUGGAUGAAGAAGGUCUUCGGAUUGUAAAGUCCUUUCGGCGGGGACGAUGAUGACGGUACCCGCAGAAGAAGCCCCGGCUAACUUCGUGCCAGCAGCCGCGGUAAUACGAAGGGGGCUAGCGUUGCUCGGAAUUACUGGGCGUAAAGGGCGCGUAGGCGGACCAUUCAGUCAGGCGUGAAAGCCCCGGGCUCAACCUGGGAAUUGCGCUUGAGACGUGUGGUCUUGAGGACGGGAGAGGGUGGUGGAAUUCCCAGUGUAGAGGUGAAAUUCGU
RNAcentral lists this ribosomal RNA (275 nucleotides) under uncultured bacterium. RNAcentral's name for it is "partial 16S ribosomal RNA". It matches the Rfam family "Bacterial small subunit ribosomal RNA", at positions 399 to 691 of the family's 1533-position model. The record is from RNAcentral.